GAUGAACGCUGGCGGCGUGCUUAACACAUGCAAGUCGAACGGUGAAGCCCAGCUUGCUGGGUGGGUUAGUGUCGAACGGGUGAGUAACACGUGAGUAACCUGCCCUUUACUCUUUGAUAAGCCUUGAAAACUGUGUCUAUUAUCGCAGAUGAGCGUCCACCGCGCGUUGUGGGUUUGAGAGAUUUAUCGCGGUUGGGGAUGGACUCGCGGCAUAUCAGCUUUUUGGUGGGGUAGUGGCUUACCAAGGCUUAGACGGGUAGCCGGCCUGAGAGGGUGACCGGCCACAUUGGGACUGAGACACGGCCCAGACUCCUACGGGAGGCAGCAGUGGGGAAUAUUGCACAAUGGGCGGAAGCCUGAUGCAGCAACGCCGCGUGAGGGAUGACGGCCUUCGGGUUGUAAACCUCUUUCAGCAGGGAAGAAGCGAGAGUGACGGUAACUGGUAAAGAAGCACCGGCUAACUACGUG
RNAcentral lists this ribosomal RNA (468 nucleotides) under uncultured bacterium. Its description in RNAcentral is "partial 16S ribosomal RNA". It matches the Rfam family "Bacterial small subunit ribosomal RNA", at positions 28 to 507 of the family's 1533-position model. The record is from RNAcentral.